GGUUAAGCGACUAAGCGUACACGGUGGAUGCCCUGGCAGUCAGAGGCGAUGAAGGACGUGCUAAUCUGCGAAAAGCGUCGGUAAGGUGAUAUGAACCGUUACAGCCGGCGAUGUCCGAAUGGGGAAACCCAGUGUGAUUCGUCACACUAUCGUUAACUGAAUACAUAGGUUAACGAGGCGAACCGGGGGAACUGAAACAUCUAAGUACCCCGAGGAAAAGAAAUCAACCGAGAUUCCCCCAGUAGCGGCGAGCGAACGGGGAGCAGCCCAGAGUCUGAAUCAGCUUGUGUGUUAGUGGAACGGUCUGGAAAGUCCGACGGUACAGGGUGAUAGUCCCGUACACCAAAAUGCACAGGCUGUGAACUCGAAGAGUAGGGCGGGACACGUGGUAUCCUGUCUGAAUAUGGGGGGACCAUCCUCCAAGGCUAAAUACUCCUGACUGACCGAUAGUGAACCAGUACCGUGAGGGAAAGGCGAAAAGAACCCCGGCGAGGGGAGUGAAAAAGAACCUGAAACCGUGUACGUACAAGCAGUGGGAGCACCUUCGGGUGUGACUGCGUACCUUUUGUAUAAUGGGUCAGCGACUUAUAUUCUGUAGCAAGGUUAACCGUAUAGGGGAGCCGCAGGGAAACCGAGUCUUAACUGGGCGUUAAGUUGCAGGGUAUAGACCCGAAACCCGGUGAUCUAGCCAUGGGCAGGUUGAAGGUUGGGUAACACUAACUGGAGGACCGAACCGACUAAUGUUGAAAAAUUAGCGGAUGACUUGUGGCUGGGGGUGAAAGGCCAAUCAAACCGGGAGAUAGCUGGUUCUCCCCGAAAGCUAUUUAGGUAGCGCCUCGUGAACUCAUCUUCGGGGGUAGAGCACUGUUUCGGCUAGGGGGUCAUCCCGACUUACCAACCCGAUGCAAACUACGAAUACCGAAGAAUGUUAUCACGGGAGACACACGGCGGGUGCUAACGUCCGUCGUGAAGAGGGAAACAACCCAGACCGCCAGCUAAGGUCCCAAAGUCACAGUUAAGUGGGAAACGAUGUGGGAAGGCACAGACAGCCAGGAUGUUGGCUUAGAAGCAGCCAUCAUUUAAAGAAAGCGUAAUAGCUCACUGGUCGAGUCGGCCUGCGCGGAAGAUGUAACGGGGCUAAACUGUGCACCGAAGCUGCGGCAGCGACACUAUGUGUUGUUGGGUAGGGGAGCGUUCUGUAAGCCUGCGAAGGUGGCCUGUGAGGGUUGCUGGAGGUAUCAGAAGUGCGAAUGCUGACAUAAGUAACGAUAAUGCGGGUGAAAAGCCCGCACGCCGGAAGACCAAGGGUUCCUGUCCAACGUUAAUCGGGGCAGGGUGAGUCGACCCCUAAGGCGAGGCCGAAAGGCGUAGUCGAUGGGAAACAGGUUAAUAUUCCUGUACUUGGUGUUACUGCGAAGGGGGGACGGAGAAGGCUAUGUUAGCCGGGCGACGGUUGUCCCGGUUUAAGCAUGUAGGCGGAGGUUCCAGGUAAAUCCGGUACCUUUUUAACGCUGAGGUGUGAUGACGAGGCACUACGGUGCUGAAGUAACAAAUGCCCUGCUUCCAGGAAAAGCCUCUAAGCAUCAGGUAACAUUAAAUCGUACCCCAAACCGACACAGGUGGUCAGGUAGAGAAUACCAAGGCGCUUGAGAGAACUCGGGUGAAGGAACUAGGCAAAAUGGUGCCGUAACUUCGGGAGAAGGCACGCUGAUAUGUAGGUGAAGCCCCUGCGGGUGGAGCUGAAAUCAGUCGAAGAUACCAGCUGGCUGCAACUGUUUAUUAAAAACACAGCACUGUGCAAACACGAAAGUGGACGUAUACGGUGUGACGCCUGCCCGGUGCCGGAAGGUUAAUUGAUGGGGUUAUCCGUAAGGAGAAGCUCUUGAUCGAAGCCCCGGUAAACGGCGGCCGUAACUAUAACGGUCCUAAGGUAGCGAAAUUCCUUGUCGGGUAAGUUCCGACCUGCACGAAUGGCGUAAUGAUGGCCAGGCUGUCUCCACCCGAGACUCAGUGAAAUUGAACUCGCUGUGAAGAUGCAGUGUACCCGCGGCAAGACGGAAAGACCCCGUGAACCUUUACUAUAGCUUGACACUGAACAUUGAGCCUUGAUGUGUAGGAUAGGUGGGAGGCUUUGAAGCGUGGACGCCAGUCUGCGUGGAGCCAACCUUGAAAUACCACCCUUUAAUGUUUGAUGUUCUAACGUUGGCCCCUUAUCGGGGUUGCGGACAGUGUCUGGUGGGUAGUUUGACUGGGGCGGUCUCCUCCCAAAGAGUAACGGAGGAGCACGAAGGUUAGCUAAUCCUGGUCGGACAUCAGGAGGUUAGUGCAAUGGCAUAAGCUAGCUUGACUGCGAGCGUGACGGCGCGAGCAGGUGCGAAAGCAGGUCAUAGUGAUCCGGUGGUUCUGAAUGGAAGGGCCAUCGCUCAACGGAUAAAAGGUACUCCGGGGAUAACAGGCUGAUACCGCCCAAGAGUUCAUAUCGACGGCGGUGUUUGGCACCUCGAUGUCGGCUCAUCACAUCCUGGGGCUGAAGUAGGUCCCAAGGGUAUGGCUGUUCGCCAUUUAAAGUGGUACGCGAGCUGGGUUUAGAACGUCGUGAGACAGUUCGGUCCCUAUCUGCCGUGGGCGCUGGAGAAUUGAGGGGGGCUGCUCCUAGUACGAGAGGACCGGAGUGGACGCAUCACUGGUGUUCGGGUUGUCAUGCCAAUGGCAUUGCCCGGUAGCUAAAUGCGGAAGAGAUAAGUGCUGAAAGCAUCUAAGCACGAAACUUGCCCCGAGAUGAGUUCUCCCUGAGACUUUAAGUCUCCUGAAGGAACGUUAAAGACGAUGACGUUGAUAGGUCGGGUGUGUAAGCGUAGCGAUACGUUGAGCUAACCGAUACUAAUGAACCGUGAGGCUUAACCUUACAACGCCGAAGGUGUUUUG
RNAcentral lists this ribosomal RNA (2925 nucleotides) under Klebsiella aerogenes. RNAcentral describes it as "bacterial LSU rRNA". It matches the Rfam family "Bacterial large subunit ribosomal RNA". The record is from RNAcentral. Lineage: Bacteria; Pseudomonadati; Pseudomonadota; Gammaproteobacteria; Enterobacterales; Enterobacteriaceae.